GCCCUCGUGGUACAGUGGUUAUGCACUCGGCUGCUAACCAAAAGACUGGCAGUUCAAAUCCACCCAGGGGCU
This 72-nucleotide transfer RNA is filed under the name Loxodonta africana (African savanna elephant). It matches the Rfam family "tRNA". From Rfam's summary of the family: Transfer RNA (tRNA) molecules are approximately 80 nucleotides in length. Their secondary structure includes four short double-helical elements and three loops (D, anti-codon, and T loops). Lineage: Eukaryota; Metazoa; Chordata; Mammalia; Proboscidea; Elephantidae. The record is from Rfam by way of RNAcentral.